RNAcentral lists this ribosomal RNA (478 nucleotides) under uncultured bacterium. RNAcentral's name for it is "partial 16S ribosomal RNA". It matches the Rfam family "Bacterial small subunit ribosomal RNA", at positions 28 to 507 of the family's 1533-position model. The record is from RNAcentral.
GAUGAACGCUGGCGGCGUGCUUAACACAUGCAAGUCGAACGAGAAGUGGAGACGGAAACCUUCGGGCGGAAGACUUUACUUCGAGUGGCGGACGGGUGAGUAACGCGUGGGUAACCUGCCUCAUACAGGGGGAUAACAGUUGGAAACGACUGUUAAUACCGCAUAAGACCACAGCACCGCAUGGUGCGGGGGUAAAAACUCCGGUGGUAUGAGAUGGACCCGCGUUCGAUUAGCCAGUUGGCGGGGUAACGGCCCACCAAAGCGACGAUCGAUAGCCGAUCUGAGAGGAUGACCGGGCACAUUGGGACUAGGACACGGCCCAGACUCCUACGGGAGGCAGCAGUGGGGAAUAUUGCACAAUGGGGGAAACCCUGAUGCAGCGACGCCGCGUGAGUGAAGAAGUAUUUCGGUAUGUAAAGCUCUAUCAGCAGGGAAGAAAAUGACAGUACCUAAGUAAGAAGCCCCGGCUAACUACGUG